GAUGAACGCUGGCGGCGCGCCUAAUACAUGCAAGUCGAGCGAACGGACGAGAAGCUUGCUCUUCUGAUGUUAGCGGCGGACGGGUGAGUAACACGUGGAUAACCUACCUAUAAUACUGGGAUAACUUCGGGAAACCGGAGCUAAUACCGGAUAAUAUUUUGAACCGCAUGGUUCAAAAGUGAAAGACGGUCUUGCUGUUACAUUUAGAUGGAUCCGCGCUGCAUUAGCUAGUUGGUAAGGUAACGGCUUACCAAGGCAACGAUGCAUAGCCGACCUGAGAGGGUGAUCGGCCACACUGGAACUGAGACACGGUCCAGACUCCUACGGGAGGCAGCAGUAGGGAAUCUUCCGCAAAGGGCGAAAGCCUGACGGAGCAACGCCGCGUGAGUGAUGAAGGUCUUCGGAUCGUAAAACUCUGUUAUUAGGGAAGAACAUAUGUGUAAGUAACUGUGCACAUCUUGACGGUACCUAAUCAGAAAGCCACGGCUAACUACGUG
This 497-nucleotide ribosomal RNA is filed under the name uncultured bacterium. Its description in RNAcentral is "partial 16S ribosomal RNA". It matches the Rfam family "Bacterial small subunit ribosomal RNA", at positions 28 to 507 of the family's 1533-position model. The record is from RNAcentral.